Molecule: unclassified non-coding RNA, 1414 nt
Filed under: Hevea brasiliensis (rubber tree)
Lineage: Eukaryota; Viridiplantae; Streptophyta; Magnoliopsida; Malpighiales; Euphorbiaceae
Source: RNAcentral
AUUUGAUGGGACUUCUGAGUGUUGUCAUUCUUGCAAACUCAAGAUAUGUGGGCUGAAAACACUUGUCAGGAGUUUUUUGCCACAUCGAGGAUCUCAUGUCAAUCUUCAAAUUGAUGAAUUGUUGCAUAUUUUAUUAAUUUGCUGCAAAGGGGUGAUGCUUUUGAUGGAAUCAUCUCAUGUGCAAGUGACAAAACUCAUAUCAGAUUAGCUGCUGCAAAAUCUGUUCUCCGACUUUCCAGAAGAUGGGAUUUACAUGUGUCUCCAAAAAUUUUUUGCUUGACAAUUUUGAUGGCAAGGGACUCAUAUUCUUCAGUUAGGAGAAAAUUCCUUAAUAAAACACACAAGCUUUUAAAGGAGCAUGCCAUACCGAGUAGAUAUGCAUGUGCUUUUCCAUUGGCUGCAUUCGAUUGCUGUAAGGAUCUGCAGGAUGCUUCAUCUAAAUACAUGGAAGAAUUUAUCAAAGAAUACAGUAUAGAAGCUCGAAAUCACCAAACCUCUGCAGUGCAAGGAGGAUCACUUACAGAUUGUCCGGCAUACAUAGUUGUAUUCUUGAUCCAUAUUCUUGCUCAUGAUUCUGGCUUUCCAGCUGAAGACUGUCAGGAUGAACAAGUGUAUGCUGAUUUUGUUAGUCCACUAUUUUGGGUUGUACGAGCAUUGGUAAAUUCCAAUAUCGUUAACGGUGAUAUGGACAUUGUUAAUGAUGCUGUCUUGUAUUUGCUAAGUAUUUUUCGUGCUAUUAAAAGAGCUGAAGAUGCCAUUGAUGCUACAAGAACUCCUAAGCUGCNNNNNNNNNNNNNGAGAUUGGGAUAUCCUCUGUAAAUGCAUUAAAUUAUAAUGGCAUUUCAACAUCACGUGCCCCUGGGCUAAUUUUGCUGCCAUCAUCUUUGUAUAGAAUAUGUUCAGAUAAGAAGUCUAAUGAGUUCCCUGUUGAUGAGAAUUUUAUCAAGAGAGUCAUUCAGAGUCUCAAAUCUCAAUUCUCUAUGGUGGUUAGCUGCCUUCCAAAACGCGGUAAAAAGUGUCAAGAGGAUGGAAUACAGUCUGGUGAUGCUAAGUAUAACACACUGAACUUGGCAACUCAUGAUCAAGCUAUGUUAUUAGGAAUUGAGGCAACAGAAAUGCAAGGACCUUCAAGUCAGGAUAUCAAUUUGGGACAUAGACAAAGAUGUGCUGCAUCUAAAUCAGCUGGACUUCACAUUGAGGUGUGCAAAAAUAAUGUGCCUAUGAGCUCUAAAUCCACUAAGGAGAAACAAAUGUCUUCAUCCUGUGAUUCUGCAACCAUUAAACCUUCUCUGAGCCAAUCACAUGAGAGCGAGGCAUUAAUUGGAAAGCGCAUCAAAUUAUUAUCUCCUGUUGAUAAAUGUUUUUAUUCAGGUACAGUGGUUGGUUUUAAUCCUUGCAACAAGACUCACAAGAU